UCUUUUUGUUAGGAUUCACCACUGCUAGCUCAGAAGGGCUAAACCCAAGCUUUAUUUUUGCAUCAGAUUCAGUCUUAACAUUUUGAGUAUCAAUUGUCCAAUAGCUCUUUCUCUUGGAACUGUUGUCUGUAACUUCCACAGUCUUUAAAUUGGUCUUGACAAAGGAAUUAUCCACACUAUCUGCAUCAAGAUCAAGAUGGUAUAUGUAAAUGUAAUAAUGGUCAUGGUAAACACCAAUGCUCUGUUCUGACACUAAAGUUCCAUGUUGAUCCUCAUUUAUCUCAUCUGUGUGCUUAAUAUCCACUGCCUUAAUUUCCAACAUGCCUGAUAAUGAUAUCUUCACAAAUCACAUAGAAUUAAGUUAAGGCCUCAUAUUAAAUAGAAGUGUUGCCUAUAUAUGACAAAUAUGAUUAAAAGUAACAUGUAAUGUAAGGAAACAGAACAUACCGCAGGUUUAAUUAAACCACUUGGCUUGAAUUCCCAGUCCAUUACAUUAUCAUAGUUGCCAACAGUAACCACUGAUCUAACCACAUUCGAAGCUUUUUGUUCAUAACCUAUUACUCUCGUGUUUUGGUGGUGAUAAGGUGGGGUUUUGAUGGCUGGGUGUGGCCAUCAAAACCGGAGCGAGGUGGUACUUCGAAGGAGAGUGACUGCCUAUGGAAUGGGAGAAGAUUUUCCCCAUCUUGCAAUCUGGCACACAUACAUCAAUAGUCAAGGAGCUCCUCCCUUACAUCACCAGACUCUUAUGCAACAUAUGGUGUUUUGGAUGCUCAGAGAAUGGAGAAGUAAAGACAUGGGGUUGGGGUGAGCAUGGUCAACUUGGCUUGGGAGAUACUUGUGACAGGAUCAGUCCUGAUACAGUAAGUCUCGGGUAUGAUCUGAAUGAAGCUGCAUCAAUCAGAGUUUACUACGGAAGUGGCUUCACGUUUGCUCUAACCAUGCCAUAAGGUCUUCCCAAACUUGAUGAUGCUCUACUUUUACGGUGGCAGUGUAUAGAAUGAUGAUACACCCCAAGGCAUGCCAAUCUCUCUGCAUGUUUAACAAAGAAACACCUUUAAAAAAUCCAUGAACAUAACACCAAUAAUAGGCCAAGAAAGUGGCCCUAUUUCAAAUGUUGUCUUGGGAUGACUAAGUGCCCCUGAAAUUUCUAACAUUUCUUUGAAGCCAAAGUGUCUAAAGAACAGCAAAGACAGCUCUGCUACAGAAUUUUCAGAUUCUUUACGAAAGCCAAAUCCCUUAAAUUCAAUAAGGAGACUCCGAUUCAAGUUCUUAGAGCUGAUCCAAUUGUCACAGAAAAUUAGUUUUAAGCUCUGGUUUUCUCUGUUUUUGUAUUAAGCAAACAUUGUGGAGGUUCUUUCCACCGGCAUGAAUGUGAUAUAGUACUCGUGUUGUGCA
Molecule: long non-coding RNA, 1395 nt
Organism: Lotus japonicus
Lineage: Eukaryota; Viridiplantae; Streptophyta; Magnoliopsida; Fabales; Fabaceae
Exons: 2
Source: RefSeq, a predicted model, not a curated record